UGCUUGACGAGAUGCAAGUGAC
Molecule: non-coding RNA, 22 nt
Filed under: Arabidopsis thaliana (thale cress)
Lineage: Eukaryota; Viridiplantae; Streptophyta; Magnoliopsida; Brassicales; Brassicaceae
Source: RNAcentral